RNAcentral lists this non-coding RNA (185 nucleotides) under Planctomycetota bacterium. RNAcentral's name for it is "Planctomycetes bacterium (marine sediment metagenome) 6S RNA". It matches the Rfam family "6S / SsrS RNA". Rfam says of the family: E. coli 6S RNA was the first non coding RNA to be sequenced, but its function was unknown until recently. It consists of 184 nucleotides that fold into an extended hairpin structure with a large single-stranded internal bulge. Lineage: Bacteria; Pseudomonadati; Planctomycetota. The record is from RNAcentral.
CUUACCCUGCGGUGUUGGUAAUGGAAGAUUGAUUUGAAAAAACCGAUACGCUCUUUUCAGGGAAGCCGUGAACUUGUUGGAUCAAAAAUGCCUAUUCGCUAGGACUUUUGGACACUUGCAAAGGCUGCCCACGUGGCUUUAAAGGGUUUAUUCAAACGCUUUCAUACCGCACAUGUGGAGCAACG